RNAcentral lists this small nucleolar RNA (129 nucleotides) under Danio rerio (zebrafish). RNAcentral's name for it is "U8 small nucleolar RNA". It matches the Rfam family "U8 small nucleolar RNA". From Rfam's summary of the family: U8 is a member of the C/D class of snoRNA which contain the C (UGAUGA) and D (CUGA) box motifs. U8 is the RNA component of a small complex (the U8 snoRNP) which is required for accumulation of mature large subunit ribosomal RNAs, 5.8S and 28S rRNAs. U8 RNA has been identified in human, mouse, rat and Xenopus. The record is from Rfam by way of RNAcentral. Lineage: Eukaryota; Metazoa; Chordata; Actinopteri; Cypriniformes; Danionidae.
ACAUCAGUAAGGUUUUUUCUUACCUGUUGUCGUAGAAAUAAAACUAUAGCACACAAUGAAUGGAUUCUAUGAAUAUUUGGUAAUAUUCUGUGUAUAGGGCUUGUCACCCAUUUAUGAAUCACCUCUGAU